GCACCUGUCGUAUAAUGGCUAUUAUCCCGGCCUUCCAAGCCGGUAAUCCGGGUUCGAAUCCCGGCAGGUGCA
RNAcentral lists this transfer RNA (72 nucleotides) under Candidatus Woesearchaeota archaeon. RNAcentral's name for it is "tRNA-Gly". It matches the Rfam family "tRNA". Rfam says of the family: Transfer RNA (tRNA) molecules are approximately 80 nucleotides in length. Their secondary structure includes four short double-helical elements and three loops (D, anti-codon, and T loops). Lineage: Archaea; Nanobdellati; Candidatus Woesearchaeota. The record is from RNAcentral.